GGCGGUGUUUGGCACCUCGAUGUCGGCUCAUCACAUCCUGGGGCUGAAGCCGGUCCCAAGGGUAUGGCUGUUCGCCAUUUAAAGUGGUACGCGAGCUGGGUUUAGAACGUCGUGAGACAGUUCGGUCCCUAUCUGCCGUGGACGUUUGAGAUUUGAGAGGGGCUGCUCCUAGUACGAGAGGACCGGAGUGGACGAACCUCUGGUGUUCCGGUUGUCACGCCAGUGGCAUUGCCGGGUAGCUAUGUUCGGGAAAGAUAACCGCUGAAAGCAUCUAAGCGGGAAACUUGCCUCGAGAUGAGAUCUCACUGGAACCUUGAGUUCCCUAAAGGGCCGUCGAAGACUACGACGUUGAUAGGUGGGGUGUGUAAGCGCUGUGAGGCGUUGAGCUAACCCAUACUAAUUGCCCGUGAGGCUUGACCAU
Molecule: ribosomal RNA, 421 nt
Filed under: Pseudomonas sp.
Lineage: Bacteria; Pseudomonadati; Pseudomonadota; Gammaproteobacteria; Pseudomonadales; Pseudomonadaceae
Description: partial 23S ribosomal RNA
Rfam family: Bacterial large subunit ribosomal RNA
Source: RNAcentral